This 497-nucleotide ribosomal RNA is filed under the name uncultured bacterium. RNAcentral's name for it is "partial 16S ribosomal RNA". It matches the Rfam family "Bacterial small subunit ribosomal RNA", at positions 28 to 507 of the family's 1533-position model. The record is from RNAcentral.
GAUGAACGCUGGCGGCGUGCCUAAUACAUGCAAGUCGAGCGAACGGACGAGAAGCUUGCUUCUCUGAUGUUAGCGGCGGACGGGUGAGUAACACGUGGAUAACCUACCUAUAAGACUGGGAUAACUUCGGGAAACCGGAGCUAAUACCGGAUAAUAUUUUGAACCGCAUGGUUCAAAAGUGAAAGACGGUCUUGCUGUCACUUCUAGAUGGAUCCGAGCUGCAUUAGCUAGUUGUUAAGGUAACGGCCUACCACGGCGACUAUGCAUAGCCGACCGGAUUGGGUGAUCGGCCACACUGGAACUGAGCCACGGUCCAGAGUCCUACGGGAGGCAGCAGUAGGGAAUCUUCCGCAAUGGGCGAAAGCCUGACGGAGCAACGCGGCGUGAGUUAUGAAGGUCUUCGGAUCGUAAAACUCUGUUACGAGGGAAGAACAGAUGUGUAAGUAACUGUGGACAUCUUGACGGUACCUAAUCAGAAAGCCACGGCUAACUACGUG